CCUACGGGUGGCAGCAGUGAGGAAUAUUGGUCAAUGGACGAGAGUCUGAACCAGCCAAGUAGCGUGAAGGAUGACUGCCCUAUGGGUUGUAAACUUCUUUUAUAUGGGAAUAAAAUGUUCCACGUGUGGGAUUUUGUAUGUACCAUAUGAAUAAGGAUCGGCUAACUCCGUGCCAGCAGCCGCGGUAAUACGGAGGAUCCGAGCGUUAUCCGGAUUUAUUGGGUUUAAAGGGCGCGUAGGUGGAUUGUUAAGUCAGUUGUGAAAGUUUGCGGCUCAACCGUAAAAUUGCAGGUGAAACUGGCAGUCUUGAGUACAGUAGAGGUGGGCGGAAUUCGUGGUGUAGCGGUGAAAUGCUUAGAGAUCGGGAGGAACACCAGUGGCGAAGGCGGCCUACUGGGCUUUAACUGACGCUGAGGCACGAAAGCGUGGGUAGCAAACAGGAUUAGAUACCCGUGUAGUC
Molecule: ribosomal RNA, 460 nt
Filed under: uncultured bacterium
Lineage: Bacteria
Description: partial 16S ribosomal RNA
Rfam family: Bacterial small subunit ribosomal RNA
Source: RNAcentral